CAGCGCCACGAGUGGGGAUCCUGUUUAUUUGGCCUAAAGCGUCCGUAGCUGGUUUAGUAAAUCUCUUGUGAAAUCGUUCGGCUUAACCGAACGGCGUGCAGGAGAGACUGCUAAGCUAGGGACUGGGAGGAGUUAGAGGUAUGCCAAGGGGAGCGGUAAAAUGCUAUAAUCCUUGGUGGACCACCUGUGGCGAAGGCGUCUAACUAGAACAGGUCCGACAGUGAGGGACGAAGGCUAGGGGAGCGAUCCGGAUUAGAUACCCGAGUAGUCC
RNAcentral lists this ribosomal RNA (271 nucleotides) under uncultured archaeon. RNAcentral's name for it is "partial 16S ribosomal RNA". It matches the Rfam family "Archaeal small subunit ribosomal RNA", at positions 477 to 747 of the family's 1478-position model. The record is from RNAcentral.